CAUUAAGAAGCUUUUAUAGCACUAGCCUUUUAAGCUAGAGAGGGGGAAUAACAGUCCCCCUUAAUGAA
RNAcentral lists this transfer RNA (68 nucleotides) under Brachymeles samarensis. Its description in RNAcentral is "tRNA-Lys". It matches the Rfam family "tRNA". Rfam says of the family: Transfer RNA (tRNA) molecules are approximately 80 nucleotides in length. Their secondary structure includes four short double-helical elements and three loops (D, anti-codon, and T loops). The record is from RNAcentral. Lineage: Eukaryota; Metazoa; Chordata; Lepidosauria; Squamata; Scincidae.